Molecule: long non-coding RNA, 1130 nt
Filed under: Homo sapiens (human)
Lineage: Eukaryota; Metazoa; Chordata; Mammalia; Primates; Hominidae
Description: HSALNT0306839
Source: RNAcentral
CUUUCUAGCCUCCGCCUCCAGGCGGGUGAGGAGGUGACACCUGAGAAUUCCUCCCUCUCACCCCUGACCCUGCCGGAAAGCGAAACUGAGAUGCGGGCAUUGGGCCCUGGGAAGCGUGGGGAAGGGGAAAGGAGAAAGCCAGGUUAACUACGUCAGGAUUAAUGUGUUCCACUUCUGCUGCCUGAGAUCAAGUCUUUGUUGUCUUGCUGAGUUUUGUCUGUUUCAUGGAACACAACAAUACACUCUACAGGAAGAACUUUAACUAAAAAGCCCUUAUAUUUCGAUUCCAGAAAAUGGAGAAAUUAAGUCCUUUCCAUGGAUCAUUCCUUCUGUAAACAGAGAUCACAAAGCAAGAGCUUCAGCAUCCUCGUGAAAAAGACAUUUUGUUCUGGGUGUCAUCAUCUCCUUCCACUACAGCUUGCAAUUGGAACAAGCUUCACAUCCUGGGGGUGCUGCCUAUCUCUGUCUUGAUUUCUGUCUGUCUAUUCCUCCCAUUGACAGGAAUGUCGUUUGUAUCCUCCACGCAGCAGUUUGCAGAAAUCCAGCAAGGUUUAUGGUUUAUGUUGCCCAGCAUGUAUAAACACAACGCUCUCAAAUGCUUUUUAAAAAUCUAUGAAUUUGUUAGAUGUCUUCACAUCCUGGUCCUCCUACCCCAAUUCUCAAACACAAAGUACUCUGUUGCCCUAUUAUAGUCCUGCGAUAGUUCUGGCUAGGAUUAGGUUGACGGUCUAAGCCCCAAGAAAGGCCUGGCAUUUUCAUAGCAGGCUUUCCCCAGUGCUUUGAGUCUUCCUCUCUCACUCCCUUUUUCUUUUUCCCUCGGAGGAGGGGGUGUUGGGGGUGGGAGGUGAUUAGUAAAUGUUUCAGGUAAUCUGUGAAUUCUUAAUAGUCAUAUUUCCGUGGUGGAAGAUCUCCCUAUUUCUCUGAUGUGACAGGUUACAGAAACCUUGGUGUUGGGGGUUUUACAGAUAUUUACAAGUUCUAGGAGUUUGAACUUUGGGUCAAGAUGUUGAUUCCUUUUAAUGUGCGAGGGUGAAGGAGGUUUUAUUUUGCUUUAUUCUUUUGGAUAUUAUGAGAUGAGAUUGUAUCCAGUCUUGGCUGUAACCUAUACCAUAAAUGCAGAGCUGCAACCA